RNAcentral lists this ribosomal RNA (219 nucleotides) under Klebsiella pneumoniae. RNAcentral describes it as "partial 23S ribosomal RNA". It matches the Rfam family "Bacterial large subunit ribosomal RNA", at positions 1 to 211 of the family's 2925-position model. Lineage: Bacteria; Pseudomonadati; Pseudomonadota; Gammaproteobacteria; Enterobacterales; Enterobacteriaceae. The record is from RNAcentral.
GGGUUGUGAGGUUAAGCGACUAAGCGUACACGGUGGAUGCCCUGGCAGUCAGAGGCGAUGAAGGACGUGCUAAUCUGCGAAAAGCGUCGGUAAGGUGAUAUGAACCGUUAUAACCGGCGAUGUCCGAAUGGGGAAACCCAGUGCAAUUCGUUGCACUAUCGUUAACUGAAUACAUAGGUUAACGAGGCGAACCGGGGGAACUGAAACAUCUAAGUACCC